Fragaria vesca subsp. vesca is the source of this 2175-nucleotide RNA transcript. It is a transcript of the gene named ATP-dependent Clp protease ATP-binding subunit ClpX-like, with no coding region annotated. NCBI's taxonomy places the organism in Eukaryota, Viridiplantae, Streptophyta, Magnoliopsida, Rosales, Rosaceae. The record is from RefSeq and is a predicted model, not a curated record. The transcript is spliced from 15 exons.
AUGUCCGGCAUGCUGAGAUGGAAGAAGGUAAAGCAUAUAGCACAGCUCAACCAGCGGUUCACUCAAGUAUCCGCAAUCUCCACGCACCUCAACCACUUGAAUAUUCAUCAUCGCCGAAGAAGAGAGUCUCUCAUCGGAGUGCAGGCGCGCUACAAGUGGGAUCACGGCGGCUCCGGCUCCGGCGAUGCCCGCUCCACCCGUAAAAUCAGGGCAGAGGCCAACUGCCCCCGGUGCUCCUUCAACCGCAUGGACCUCAUCUUCUCCGAUCGCCGCUUAUCUAACUUAUCUCCGGACGAUGCCGCCGGCAAGACCACCUCUGAGCUUCAGUAUCAGGCCCUCAAUCUCUGCCCCAAUUGCAAGACCGCCUACUACUUCCGACCUCACCUGAUUGCUCCCCUCCAAGGCACUUUCGUGGAGAUUGGGAGGCUCACCAACACUAACCCAACCUCUUCCAAUCGCCAAACCGCCACCAAAAUCAAAACCAAUUCCAAUUCUAGUACCUCAAACGACGAUCCUCUGCGGGCAACCUUCUGGGACACUUUGAGAUCAUUUGCUAAUGCGAAUGAGCCACCUGGCCCUCCCAAUGGACUUGCCGUGCAUACGCCCCCGGGCCACCUUUCGCACCCGGAGUCAAUGUCAUUCGGGCUACCGGAGAUGCCCCCGAUGCUGGCGACAACAAGGCCUGGGGCGGCUCCAAUUUGGGAAAGGAUUUGCCCACGCCUAAGGAGAUCUGCAAGGCUCUCGAUAAGUUCGUCAUUGGCCAACAAAGAGCCAAAAAGGUGCUUUCUGUAGCCGUUUAUAACCACUACAAACGAAUUUAUCAAUCCUCCUUGCCCAAAGGGUCAGCUGCAGAACCUGCAAGUCCAAACACAAUAGAUAAAGAAGACAGUGUAGAGCUAGAAAAGAGCAAUGUUCUCUUGAUGGGCCCAACUGGAUCUGGGAAGACAUUGCUUGCAAAAACACUAGCUCGAUUUGUGAAUGUGCCAUUCGUCAUUACUGAUGCAACAAAUUUAACACAGGCUGGUUAUGUUGGGGAAGAUGUUGAAUCAAUAUUGCAAAAAUUAUUGGCGGCAGCUGACUUCAAUGUUCAAGCAGCUCAACAAGGGAUUGUUUACAUUGAUGAAGUUGACAAGAUAACUAAGAAGGCUGAGAGCUUAAACAUUAGCAGAGAUGUUUCCGGAGAGGGCGUUCAGCAGGCUUUACUGAAAAUGCUUGAAGGAACUAUAGUGAACGUUCCUGAGAAGGGUGCGAGGAAGCAUCCACGGGGUGAUAACAUACAGAUAGAUACAAAAGAUAUCCUUUUUAUUUGUGGUGGAGCAUUUGUAGAUCUUGAAAAAACCAUUUCAGAGAGACGACAAGAUUCUUCUAUUGGAUUUGGUGCUCCUGUGCGUGCCAAUAUGAGAGCUGGUGGUGUAACUAACGCAAUAGUGACAUCAUCUUUACUUGAAUCGGUUGAAAGUGCUGAUCUCAUUGCAUAUGGACUCAUACCAGAGUUUAUUGGGCGUUUUGCAAUAUUAGUUAGUUUAUCUGCAUUAACUGAAGACCAACUUGUUGAGGUACUCACGGAACCAAAAAAUGCCCUUGGUAAGCAGUACAAGAAACUAUUUAGCAUGAACAAUGUGAAGCUGCAUUUCACGGACAAAGCUCUAAGACUCAUGGCAAAGAAAGCGAUGGCUAAGAAUACUGGUGCCAGGGGAUUAAGAGCGAUAUUGGAAAGUGUUCUAACUGAAGCCAUGUAUGAGAUUCCGGAUAUUAAAACAGGAGAAGAUAGAAUAGAUGCUGUAGUGGUUGAUGAGGAGUCUGUGGGUUCAGGAAGUUCCCUAGGAUGUGGAGGGAAGAUUAUUCGAGGGGAUGGGGCAUUGGAAAGAUACCUACGUGAAAUAAAGCUGAAAGAAUCAGUGGAGUACGUGGAGGCCGCUGAAGGGGAGUCAGAGGGGGAAUCAGAACAUUCCAGAGCUAUGAGCAUGUAACAGUAAUACCAUCAUAGUUAUAGUGUAAGAUCUCUUUAUUGUUAUUUGUAAAAUUAACAUUCAUAAUCUGUUGUAAAUACCCCAAUAUAGAAUGAUAUAGUUUCUGAUUCAAAUUAACCAGAAAAGAAAGAAAGGAGGCAAAAAAUGUAUACUUGAUGUCCUCAAUUAUUUCUUGGUGAAAAAUAUCCUCGUACGUGUUUUCUUG